AUAAUCAAUUAGAUAAUUCGUUUUCAACCUCUUUAAUUAACUGAUAUGGAUACUUGACAGUCAGUACAGAAAUGUCUAACUGACUUUCAUCAUAUUGUCACUCAAUUAAAUAAUAGAUUAUUAGUUUAUUAAAUAAUACAUAUUUUAGAGUAACAGUGUAUUUUACACAACAAGUAUUUAUUUUCUACGCGUCACUAGGUUCGUACGCGACAUGUUUGCGCCGUGGAGACUUUGCAGCUGCCUGUGUGUGCGGCGUGAGCUACAAGCUGAACCGAGCUUCGCUAAAACAAGCUAAUACGAAAAAGGGAAGCGUUUUCUACUAAACUUCCGAAUGCAUACAUUACCGAAUUUAGUGAAACUAUACCCAUAUGUGAUCAACGUUUCAGUAGGUAUAUAACAUUUUAUAAGUACUGUUGUUAGUUUAAAUAAACACACCAUAGUUGUAA
Cydia pomonella (codling moth) is the source of this 446-nucleotide long non-coding RNA. RefSeq lists it as uncharacterized. The transcript is spliced from 2 exons. NCBI's taxonomy places the organism in Eukaryota, Metazoa, Arthropoda, Insecta, Lepidoptera, Tortricidae. The record is from RefSeq and is a predicted model, not a curated record.